CACGUAGGGCGCAAGCGUUGUCCGGAAUUAUUGGGCGUAAAGAGCUCGUAGGCGGUCUGUUGCGUCCGCUGUGAAAACUCGGGGCUUAACCCCGAGCCUGCAGUGGAUACGGGCAGACUAGAGGUAGGUAGGGGAGAAUGGAAUUCCCGGUGUAGCGGUGGAAUGCGCAGAUAUCAGGAGGAACACCGAUGGCGAAGGCAGAUCUCUGGGCCGUAACUGACGCUGAGGAGCGAAAGCAUGGGGAGCGAACAGG
RNAcentral lists this ribosomal RNA (253 nucleotides) under uncultured bacterium. RNAcentral describes it as "partial 16S ribosomal RNA". It matches the Rfam family "Bacterial small subunit ribosomal RNA", at positions 524 to 776 of the family's 1533-position model. The record is from RNAcentral.